RNAcentral lists this ribosomal RNA (253 nucleotides) under uncultured bacterium. RNAcentral's name for it is "partial 16S ribosomal RNA". It matches the Rfam family "Bacterial small subunit ribosomal RNA", at positions 524 to 776 of the family's 1533-position model. The record is from RNAcentral.
UACGUAGGUGACAAGCGUUAUCCGGAUUUACUGGGCGUAAAGGGAGCGUAGGCGGAUAAUUAAGUGGGAUGUGAAAUACCCGGGCUCAACCUGGGUGCUGCAUUCCAAACUGAUUAUCUAGAGUGCAGGAGAGGAGAGUGGAAUUCCUAGUGUAGCGGUGAAAUGCGUAGAGAUAAGGAAGAACACCAGUGGCGAAGGCGACUCUCUGGACUGUAACUGACGCUGAGGCUCGAAAGCGUGGGGAGCAAACAGG